This 2178-nucleotide long non-coding RNA is filed under the name Pelobates cultripes (western spadefoot toad). The record is from RNAcentral. Lineage: Eukaryota; Metazoa; Chordata; Amphibia; Anura; Pelobatidae.
ACUCACACUCACCAUAUAAUACAGAGAUGUGAUAAUAAGUGAGUGCCACACUGUUUCAUGUUCUCACAUUUCCUUUAAUAAUCUGUUAUUUGUCUCUGCAGGUUAACAGAAAUAUAUAAACAUUAUAGUGCAAUUAUUACAAUUAAACUAAUCAUAUCACAUUAGAAAUAAUAUACUUGACGCAAUCGUUUACUUUUUCCCUCCCUGAUUAAAAUCCUUGUAUAUGGCUGCGGUCUGUCCCAUGAAAGCCCAACGAUCAAACCGAGCAUUAAUUCAAUGUAUCGCCCACACAGGCAGUAACGUACUGCUCUCUGCAUUCCUUACACUGAAACAGAAUCUCCUUCUAAAUCACGUGUUCAUGCAAUGUGAUAUAUUAAUGCACGGCAAUUUCCUUUACUGAAAUCCGAAAAAAGUGAUAUUUUAUUCUCUACAGCUAGCUUUGACACCCACACGCCGCUGAACACAGAUACUAAAAAGGUAUCGCAACCUCUAAAAAAGGAGAAAAAAACGAAAAGGAAACCCCCUUUCCAUCGCUAGACUAACGUUUCUUUAUUAUUAUUAUUGCCAUUUAUAUAGCGCCAACAGAUUCCGUAGCGCUUUACAAUAUUAUUAGAGAGGGGAUUUAACUAUAAAUAGGACAAUUACAAGAAAACUUACAGGAAUAAUAGGUUGAAGAGGGCCCUGCUUAAACGAGCUUACAGUAUAUAGGAGGUGGGGUGUAAAACACAAUAGGACAGGAAUUCACAAUCAAAUAAGGUGGGAGUGAAGCAGAGCUGGAGGAGAGAGUAAAGUGUGGCCCUUUAGGAGAGAGCAAGAGACAGGUGUGUAAAGUAGAGGCUACUCUGGGAGGCCAUAAGCUUUCCUAAAGAGAUGGGUUUUAAGGCACUUCUUAAACAAGUGAAGACUAGGGGAGAGUGAUGGGGGUAGGCAGGCUAUUCCAUAGGAAGGGAGCUACCCGCGAGAAGUUCUGCAAACGCGAGUUGGCCAUACGGGUGCGAGCAGCGGACAGGAGAAGGUCACAGGCAGUGCGGAGAGAUCGAGAAGGGACAUACCUAUGGAUCUGUGAGGAGAUAUAAGAGGGGCUAGAAUUGUUCAGUGCUUUAUAGGUGUGAAUUAGUACCUUGAAUUGACUCCUAUAGGAUACAGGAAGCCAAUGUAAGGACUGGUAGAGGGGAGAGGUGUGAGAGAACCGACUAGAGAGGAAAAUCAGUCUGGCAGCAGCAUUCAUUACAGACUGUAGCUGUGCAGUACGGCUUUUGGGAAGACCAAUCAGGAGAGGGUUACAAUAAUCCAUGCGGGAAAUUACUAGAGCAUGGUCAAGCUUCUUGGUAGCAUCUUGUGUAAGAAAGGGGAGGAUGCAGGCUAUGUUUUUAAGAUGGAAUCUACAGGAUUUGGCAACAUACUGGAUGUGAGGCUUAACGCCUUAAGUACCAAACUUCGGGAAUAAAAGGGAAUCAUGACAUGUCACACGUCAUGUGUCCUUAAGAGGUUAAAGGUGAGGCCAGAAUCAAGUAUGACGCCAAGACGGCGCGCUUGCAAGGAUGGACUGAUGUGGAUACCACUAACUUGAAGGGAGCGCGAAAUAGGAGGAUCAGUGUUAGGAGGAGGAAAGAGAAGGAGCUCAGUUUUAGAGAGAUUGAGUUUCAGAAAGCGGUAGGACAUCCAGUCAGAGAUGGAAGAAAGGCAAGCAGUGACACGUUGCAGGACAGCAGGGGAGAGAUCCGAGGAGGAGAGAUAAAUCUGGGUGUCAUCAGUGUACAGGUGGUAGUGGAAUCCAAAUGAGGCAAUAAGUUUGCCAAGAGAGGCAGUAUAAAGAGAAAAUAGAAGGGGACCAAGGACAGAGCCUUGUGGGACUCCAGAGAGAGUACUUUAGGCUGCGGUCUAACAUUCUUUGAAAAAAGCUGCGUCUUGUGUUAUGAAAUACUGAUAACAUGUAUAUUGUAUAACAUUCACAAACAAUAUACAUUCGGAUUACAAAUACAUAAUUAAAGAAGGCCUCGUUAAUUCUGUGUUUCCUGAUUCAGCCACGCGGUCAUGCUAGCAUUCCAACGUGUCACAGUUUGUGUGGAGGGAUGUCUGAUAACAUAUUUUUCAAAGCUUUGGCAUUCUCUCCAUCUGGAGCUUCAGGCCACCUGUUGUGAUCUGUGAAGAGAAUAGUUCGUUUUUUUUUAUAUUUUG